GAAAGGAAACAAGGCAGUAUCAUAAACUAUUGAAAAAAUCAAUCAUAAAAUCUUUAUAUAAUUUAAAGGUGCUAGAAAUAUACUAAGAAAGAAUUACUAAAACAAAUUUGAACAAAUUUAUACAAAAUAACAAACCCAUAAAUAAUGAUAAAAUAAGGCUAACAAACAAAACACAAUCUACAAAAAUAAUUACUUCAUCCAGGAAAAUAUCAAUUAUUUUGUAAUCAUAAAAUAGAGACUAAACAAAACUUAAAAAGAGAAAGAAGGAUAUAUAUAUUGGAGCUGGUUGUUUCUUGUGACCGAUUCCGCCGGAGAGUGUGGGUUUUGGUCGGAGUCGUGGUUGUUGUUAUUGUUGCUUCCUGGAGGAGCUCGUGGGUGGAGAUCUGGUUGUUACGAGGUCGCCGAUAACCUGCAAAACAAACAAAAAAUGAAAAAGGGGAAGGGUAAGGGGACUGGUUGCAUGGUCCGGUUCACCGGAGCUUAGAGCUUCUUGCCGGAGUUUGUUGAUUUUCUACCAGAUCUGGUCGUAUCCGAUCGUGAAAGAGACAAGUGAAAAUUGGGACUUUGUUGGUUGCUCGCUGUCAGAUCUUGGAGCCGUUUUUAGUGGCUAUUUUCAGGCAGGUUUGGGGGUUGUUCGGUUGUUAUUGGAGUUGGGGUUUUAAGUGGUGUUCUGGGCAAUGAGCUUUGAGCUCAAUUGUGUGGUGGUUACUUAUGGUUUCAUGGUUGUAGGUGGCUGGACAGUGGUGGCAUUUGGUGGCGUGGAGAAGGUGGUGGUUUGCUAUUGAUUUGGUGGCUGGAAUAGUGAAGGAAAUGAGAGAUGUUUGGCUGGAAAAAGGUGAUAAACGGAGGUGAGUUUUGGGUGGCGGCUAUGAGAGCAUAUAGGAGGAGAGAAAGAUUAGGGUUCUUCCCUUUAGAAAAAGUUCCUCCUAACCUAAAUAUUUU
RNAcentral lists this long non-coding RNA (942 nucleotides) under Solanum tuberosum (potato). RNAcentral describes it as "long non-coding RNA (STUB_LNC001350)". The record is from RNAcentral. Lineage: Eukaryota; Viridiplantae; Streptophyta; Magnoliopsida; Solanales; Solanaceae.